Molecule: non-coding RNA, 83 nt
Organism: Meloidogyne enterolobii
Lineage: Eukaryota; Metazoa; Nematoda; Chromadorea; Rhabditida; Meloidogynidae
Source: the annotation of a GenBank genome assembly
GUCCCGGUGUCUCAGUCGGUAGAGCACCUGUACGAGGUAAGCGAACUGCCAGGAGGUCGCAGGAUCAAAGCCUGCCAGGGUUU